Gossypium raimondii (Peruvian cotton) is the source of this 132-nucleotide non-coding RNA. The record is from Rfam. Lineage: Eukaryota; Viridiplantae; Streptophyta; Magnoliopsida; Malvales; Malvaceae.
CGUUAAAAAUUCCGUCUAGUUCUUUUGUUAAAAGUUGGCGUGACUAAUAGAAUAACUAGACAAUUGCACAUAACGUGCCAUUGGCAUACAUGGACUAAUUUUCAACAGUAAAAAUGGAUGAAAUUUUUAACA